GAUGAACGCUGACGGCGUGCCUAAUACAUGCAAGUCGAGCGAACGGACGAGAAGCUUGCUUCUCUGAUGUUAGCGGCGGACGGGUGAGUAACACGUGGAUAACCUACCUAUAAGACUGGGAUAACUUCGGGAAACCGUAGCUAAUACCGGAUAAUAUUUUGAACCGCAUGGUUCAAAAGUGAAAGACGGUCUUGCUGUCACUUAUAGAUGGAUCCGCGCUGCAUUAGCUAGUUGGUAAGGUAACGGCUUACCAAGGCAACGAUGCAUAGCCGACCUGAGAGGGUGAUCGGCCACACUGGAACUGAGACACGGUCCAGACUCCUACGGGAGGCAGCAGUAGGGAAUCUUCCGCAAUGGGCGAAAGCCUGACGGAGCAACGCCGCGUGAGUGAUGAAGGUCUUCGGAUCGUAAAACUCUGUUAUUAGGGAAGAACAUAUGUGUAAGUAACUGUGCACAUCUUGACGGUACCUAAUCAGAAAGCCACGGCUAACUACGUG
This 497-nucleotide ribosomal RNA is filed under the name uncultured bacterium. RNAcentral's name for it is "partial 16S ribosomal RNA". It matches the Rfam family "Bacterial small subunit ribosomal RNA", at positions 28 to 507 of the family's 1533-position model. The record is from RNAcentral.